Long non-coding RNA from Portunus trituberculatus (swimming crab), 2184 nucleotides. RefSeq lists it as uncharacterized. The transcript has 2 exons. The record is from RefSeq and is a predicted model, not a curated record. Lineage: Eukaryota; Metazoa; Arthropoda; Malacostraca; Decapoda; Portunidae.
UCUCCACACACACCCAAUCAGUAGACAUCUCAUCUCCAUUACAAUGAAUAUUUUUUGUUUGCUACUCAAGAGUGAAGUAAAUACUAUUAUCACUUCAUGUUAUUUUCUUUUUAAAUUAGCUUCAAAUGUCCUAUUGUUAAACACUAUUCAUACCUUCUAAUAUUUUUUCGUCUUCCUUUAACCUAGCUAUAACUUAUUCAUUCUCCAUCCAUCAUUUUUGUAGAUCCAAGAUAUUUGAAACGUGUUACUAUUGCUAAUAUUUAAUAGAAAUAGACACCCAUUUCUACCUACCACAUUUAGAUCGACAAAUACAAUAAAAUAUUACAAUUUUAAUUAAGAUUUAGUUAAGAUAAAACUCUGAUGUGUAUUUGCAGGAGGAGAACAGCAUGUGGUGGAAGUGAAAGUGGUGGCUUCACCACAACACUAUCUGGGCUGGGACUGGGAGGCUCGCAUGGUGGAAACGUGGGUGAAGUAUCGUGUGGAUGGAGUGUGUGGCUCAGGGAUCUGCGAAUGGAAUUACCGACACUCUGGGGGCCGGCCAAAGGAACUCAGUAUUCAAGACCCUGAGUGGGCAGUCAAGUACCGACCUAAAUACCUAUUGGCCUGAUUAAUCAUAGUCCCUCUGUAAAUGACAGUCCAUGACAGCCUCAGGUGAAAGGAAAACAUUGUGUGGUAAUAUAUUGGAGGAGUGUAUUUAAGAAGUAUGUUGUAACCUGGAGAGCUGAAGUCAAUAUACCUUUUAACUCUUCUUCGCUCAUCUUCAUGUUGUUGUCUGCAAUUAUGAUGACUUUUACGCUAUUUUUUUUAUCACGGGCUAGCCUUUUUUAAUAGUGUUUCAACUAAAUGUUACAUAUGAUGGGAUAGUUUUUCAUAAUCUCAAGAAAGGUGAAUAUUUAAUUUAAUUUCAGUCUGGUUAGUUUUGGUGCUAACACAAAAAGAAAAGUAGACAAAUCAUCCAACAGCAAAGCACAUAUACCCUCACACACUAUAGUCGUCAUCUGAAUUAGUGACCUAUUUGCUAUUGAAACGCCAGAUGCGAGCAGAAAAUUCGAACAUGUUUAACUUUAUCGUAGCUUCAAGCAAACUCUACGAAUUCCCUUUAAUCACUAACGAAUAAAAGACUUUUACCAACAAAUUCGCUAGCGAAUCAAGAUGCUUGUCCAAAACAAAUAAAAGCAGCACCAUGUAAAAAAGCCUCUAAACUCAUUCAACUUUACAGAUCGCGUCUAACGUACGACGAUGGCAGGUUUGAGGGUAUAAAUAUGUGCUCUGCCACUGGGUGUAUUGGCCAGUUUUCUUUUCAUGAUGUCACCAAAACUAGCCUAAUUGAAAUGAAAUUAAUUACUCAACCUCCUUGAAAUUAUAGAAAACCUUCCCAUCAUAGAGAACAUAUUGGCUUAUUUUCAUUGAUCUUAUUGUUUUGCACCAUAGCAAUGUAAAACGUACAUAUAAACAGUUUUACAAUAUGAGCAUAUCUUAAGUAAAAUAAUAUCAAAAUCACACAUGCUAUUUAAUUUUACAAAUAUCUUGUAUAUACACGUUUUACCUGAACUUCUGCGUUUGGUACAUAAAAAGCUGAGUAAACACUAUCAUAACACGUUUUUGUUAUAUCAAUUUCCUUUCUCUAUAUUGAUAUAUUUUCAUCAAAUUUAUCGUUUUGGAACACAACAAUGUAAAAUAUCUAAUUAAGCGUAGGUUCCCAAAAGUGUUUUUUUUUUUUCUUAAGUUAAAUAACCAGAAAAUCAAACAUAUUAUUUGAUUUUAUCAAUAUUUUGUAUUUGCACGUUUUCCCUUCACUUCUGCCUUUUCCUGCAGUAAAAAGCUGAAAAUAUAAUUCAAACUUUUUUAUAUAUUAAUUUCGUGUUUCUCUAUUGCCUUAUUUUCAUAAAUCUUAUCGUUUUAUAGCAAAACAAUGUAAAAUGAUUUCAAUAAAUACAAUUUUAGAUUAAGACUGCUUUUUCAUAAAAUAAUUUCAAAACACAACUAUCACGUAGUUUUACAAAUAAAGUGUAUAUAUUGUUUUGCCUGCAUUCCUAUAUUUUUGUACAUAAAUAGGUGGAAAACACUAAAAUAACACUUGUUUGCAAAUCUCAAUUUGUUUUUCUGUAUUGGCUUAUUUCCGUCAAUUUUAUCGUUUGGAAUACAACAAUGUAAAAUUUCUCAAUAAACAUAGUUUUCAAUUAA